This 555-nucleotide ribosomal RNA is filed under the name Phomopsis sp. 7PJ-14. RNAcentral's name for it is "eukaryotic LSU rRNA". The stretch from base 182 to 335 matches the Rfam family "5.8S ribosomal RNA". The record is from RNAcentral. Lineage: Eukaryota; Fungi; Ascomycota; Sordariomycetes; Diaporthales; Diaporthaceae.
GUGGAUAUGGUAGCGCCGAGUGGCCUAGGGAGCGUUUGUGGAACUGUAUACCUCCACUAGCGUGCCUCCCCUAAAGCUGGCCCCCUCGGGGUCCCCUGGAGACAGGGAGCAGGCACGCCGGCGGCCAAGUUAACUCUUGUUUUUACACUGAAACUCUGAGAAAAAAACACAAAUGAAUCAAAACUUUCAACAACGGAUCUCUUGGUUCUGGCAUCGAUGAAGAACGCAGCGAAAUGCGAUAAGUAAUGUGAAUUGCAGAAUUCAGUGAAUCAUCGAAUCUUUGAACGCACAUUGCGCCCUCUGGUAUUCCGGAGGGCAUGCCUGUUCGAGCGUCAUUUCAACCCUCAAGCAUUGCUUGGUGUUGGGGCACUGCCUGUAAAAGGGCAGGCCCUGAAAUCUAGUGGCGAGCUCGCUAGGACCCCGAGCGUAGUAGUUAAACCCUCGCUUUGGAAGGCCCUGGCGGUGCCCUGCCGUUAAACCCCCAACUUUUGAAAAUUUGACCUCGGAUCAGGUAGGAAUACCCGCUGAACUUAAGCAUAUCAAUAAGCGGAGGAA